GAUGAACGCUGGCGGCGUGCCUAAUACAUGCAAGUCGAGCGAACAGACGAGGAGCUUGCUCCUCUGACGUUAGCGGCGGACGGGUGAGUAACACGUGGAUAACCUACCUAUAAGACUGGGAUAACUUCGGGAAACCGGAGCUAAUACCGGAUAAUAUAUUGAACCGCAUGGUUCAAUAGUGAAAGACGGUUUUGCUGUCACUUAUAGAUGGAUCCGCAUCGCAUUAGCUAGUAGGUAAGGUAACGGCUUACCAAGGCGACGAUGCGUAGUCGACCUGAGACGGGGAACUGCCACAAUGGAAAAGAGAACCGUCCGCAACACCUACGGGAAGCGGAAGUAGGAAACCUUCCGCAACAAGCGCAAGCCUGAAGGAGCAACGCGACGUGAGUGAUGAAGGUCUUCGGAUCGUAAAACUAUGUUAUUAGGGAAGGACAAUAGUGUAAGUAACUAUACACGUCUUAAGGGUACCUACUCAGAAAGCCACGGCUAACUACGUG
This 497-nucleotide ribosomal RNA is filed under the name uncultured bacterium. RNAcentral's name for it is "partial 16S ribosomal RNA". It matches the Rfam family "Bacterial small subunit ribosomal RNA", at positions 28 to 507 of the family's 1533-position model. The record is from RNAcentral.